GACAGGUGCUGCAUGGCUGUCGUCAGCUCGUGUUGUGAAAUGUUGGGUUAAGUCCCGCAACGAGCGCAACCCUUAUCCUUUGUUGCCAGCGGUCCGGCCGGGAACUCAAAGGAGACUGCCAGUGAUAAACUGGAGGAAGGUGGGGAUGACGUCAAGUCAUCAUGGCCCUUACGACCAGGGCUACACACGUGCUACAAUGGCGCAUACAAAGAGAAGCGACCUCGCGAGAGCAAGCGGACCUCAUAAAGUGCGUCGUAGUCCGGAUUGGAGUCUGCAACUCGACUCCAUGAAGUCGGAAUCGCUAGUAAUCGUGGAUCAGAAUGCCACGGUGAAUACGUUCCCGGGCCUUGUACACACCGCCCGUCACACCAUGGGAGUGGGUUGCAAAAGAAGUAGGUAGCUUAACCU
RNAcentral lists this ribosomal RNA (408 nucleotides) under Agrobacterium pusense. RNAcentral's name for it is "bacterial SSU rRNA". It matches the Rfam family "Bacterial small subunit ribosomal RNA", at positions 1033 to 1441 of the family's 1533-position model. Lineage: Bacteria; Pseudomonadati; Pseudomonadota; Alphaproteobacteria; Hyphomicrobiales; Rhizobiaceae. The record is from RNAcentral.